Molecule: non-coding RNA, 901 nt
Organism: Lactuca sativa (garden lettuce)
Lineage: Eukaryota; Viridiplantae; Streptophyta; Magnoliopsida; Asterales; Asteraceae
Source: RefSeq, a predicted model, not a curated record
AUACAAGGGACGAUCGCAAGUAGAAGGUGAACGAACGAUUACAGUCAGGAAGGGGGCACACGAAGCCAGCGACGAUGCUUCCGAUUCGUUGCUCGUCGCAGGCCACGAAGAGGGCCGAGGAACUUCUGUCGACAGAAGAAGAAGAUGGGAAUAAUCAGUAGGGCUACGCUCCCUUCUCGUCCGGCUCCGAGGUGCAAGGGUUGUGGAUCGGUCUCGGGCGGAGGGUGCGUCUCCGAGGUUGACGAGGCCGAUAGCAAGGAGCGAGAGGGAGGAUAGAAGAGGUUUCGUUGGUCUCGUUGGGUGCAGCGAUGGAGUGGAAUGCGAGGCCAAAAAAGGGGUCCGGAAGAGGCAUGUCAAGCAGCGCCUCCAGCUUCUGCUGAGGUCUCCGCAGCAGUCCUCGACAUGCGACGGAUGUUUUGCUCCGGUAAGAGUGGAAAUGAAUGGGUGUUUGGGUUGGUGCUGCUGCUUCGAUGGUUUACCAGAGCACCACCCGUACUUGGCUGAUCGAAGGAGGUAGAAAGCAGUGAUUUGGGGGUGUUUGGUUUGUUUCAUUUGAAAGGGAAUAGAACGAGGGAUGUUGCGAGGAUUAAACUCCAUGACAAUAUGACAUAACUCUAAGAUUAUAAGAGUAUGGCUGGAUGAUUAUUUGAAGAAGAGAAAGGAUGUGAGGGGGCUGUUCACUGACAGCUUCAAUUGAGAAGAACACUCUUCCUUUGUGUAUGGUUUUGUAUAAAAAUAUUUUUUUUGUAUGGUUUUGUAUAAAAAGAUGUUUACUUUGUGUGUAAACUUGGUGUGUUAUCAUUAAUAGCUGUCAAUUUGUGUAUGUAUGAAUCCUUGAAGGAUUUUUGGAGAGUACAAACUCUAUUGCCUUAUGUGUGUAUUGUGUGGGUUAUUUGGGUGU